Molecule: non-coding RNA, 155 nt
Organism: Populus trichocarpa (black cottonwood)
Lineage: Eukaryota; Viridiplantae; Streptophyta; Magnoliopsida; Malpighiales; Salicaceae
Source: Rfam
UCUAAAACUCGAGAUAUGGGCUAAAUACUGAACAGUGUCUAGGCUGCAGGACAUAUUUCGACUUCUCCGUUGUUACUACAAUUUGAACUUAAAAAUGACCUUUUUUAAUCUUGGACUCUCAUGAAAGUUUUAGGCCUGUGUUUUAGCUUUCCAUA